Molecule: long non-coding RNA, 5272 nt
Filed under: Sus scrofa (pig)
Lineage: Eukaryota; Metazoa; Chordata; Mammalia; Artiodactyla; Suidae
Description: lncRNA (ENSSSCG00000040413.3)
Source: RNAcentral
AAUUUUAAAAAUUCUUUAUUUUUAAAUAAAGUUUAAAAGUAAUGUGAGUAGUGUAAAAUAUUCAAAUACAGAAAUGUAUAAAGUUGAAAGUUCCAUGUAAUCUACACUGUUCACAAAAAGGCCAUUUAUAGACUUUUCUAUGCAUUAUGAACAUAAACACACAAAUUCUUAAAUGAGUUCAUACUACAAAUUUUUCUAGCAAGUUUGUUUCACUUAAUAUAUUAUGGCCAUUUUUCCAUGCCCAUACACAAUAAAUGUACUUUAUUCAUUUUAACAGACACGUCGAUUUUCUUAUAUGGCUAAGCCAUGUGGUACAUAACCAAUUCUUCACUGAUAAACAUUUAGGUUUUCUUCUGUAUUUUUUCUACCAUGUAAUUAAUUUUUAUGCUCUGUAAACAUAAAACAUUGUCAGUUCCUGUUUUUUUUAUCUUCUAGAUUGAAAAAUAAUUUCAGUGUGGCCUUGACCUCUAGUUUAAUUAAUACUUGGAUCUGUCAAACUUCCAUAUUGGUAGAUAGCAUAUUCAGACUCAAUUUCAAGUAAUAGAAACCAAACUCAAAGUAACUUAAGCAAAAAAGGGUCUUUAUUGGUUUACAUAACUGAAAAGUCCAGGGGAUAUUCUAGCUUCAGGCACGGUUGGAUCCAGGGGCACAAAAAAUUAUCAUCAGAACUUAAGUCUCUCCAUCAUUUGGCUCCGCCUUCCUCUGCACUGGCUUCAUUCUCUGACUGGCUUAUUUGAUAUGGUAGGCCCUGUUGGUUUGAGCUUUUCAUCCUACAGAGCUAAGCAACCUCAGUAAACAGCCUCUGAGCUUCUCCUACACAGUUCACUAAAACUCUCAGGAUUAAGUAAUCACUGGACCAACUUGAAUCACAUGAUCAUUCCUGAACCAAUCACUAUGGUCAAGGAGAUGGAUUUUGCUGACUGAUCAGGUUUGAAUUACAUGUCCACCCAUGAAACCUAAGGUUAGGUCAGACUGAACCACAUGAAUUGAAAAAGAGAGAGGUGGUUCCAAGAAGCAUCAGGGAGUUGUUUUUAUUUAUAAAGAGAUGGAAUAGGUGUUGGUCAAUCAAAAACAACUGAUGUCAACGAUAAGAACAGAUAUUGAAAAAAUUUAAUCUCUGCUCAUAGAGUUGAAUGGUUAACAGCUGGUGUAGACUUCCUUGACAAUAGGAGCAUUCUGGAAAAAAUCAUGAGGAGUAAGUCUGUCUUCUACUCGAAGCUUGUAAUCCAUUUGAAUGGAAUAAUCAUGUCCAGUAGAUACUUUGAAUGAUACAACAGUUUCGAUGUAAGCAAACUCAGUGGUCAUGUGUGAGAGUCCAGCUGUCUUGCUGACAUGAAGCAGGACAACCAGCCUUCUACUGGCAAAUAGUUCUAUGAGGCUAUUCAAGUCAGUGGCGAAUUUUAAGUUUAGUGGAAAAGUUUCUUGUGUUCAUGUCUUUUGCCAAGUUGAAUCGGUACAUUUCUGUGAGUCCUGGUGAAUCAGCUUCAUCUCUGUAUUACUGUAGAAGAGAGAAUGGGCAAUGCUUUCAAUCUGCUGUACUCCUCCAGGCCUAGUAGAAAGGGUCCCAAGUAUUAAAAAAGAUAAAAUUAAAAAAAAAAAAAAAAAAAGCAUGCUCCUUCCUGCAGUGAACACUAAGUCAUGGUGGGGUGCAGGGUGCUUCUGUUCAAAACUCCUUGGUGGAACUGGGUAUAAGAUAGGUUGAGAUCAGCUGUAGUUUUAUCAAGCACAGCCAGUUGGACUGCAGUCAAAAAGGCAGGCAAGGGCUGAGUUAGGUAAAGAGGCAAGCAGGGCCAGCCAUAUCAAUAGCCAGGCUAUGAUCUGGAAGAACAGGCAGUUUAAUAUCAAAGCUCUGUAAAUUAGUUUUUACCCUGAGUACUCCAGGGUUAUUAAUCCAUAGGGUUUACUCUGGAUACAAUUUUCUGAUCAUACUGGGCCAGUCAGGUACAGCAACUUUCAUUUUCCUGCUCAUCUGCCCAAGAUCUUUCAGCUCAGAGGGUUAUAUCCUCGAUACAGACUUGAGGGUUCUGUUUAGGAGUCUAUGCUACAUCUGGGAGUGACAGGGUUGGGAGAGCCAGGUUCAUCAAGGUUGGCCCUACUUUCUUUGGUAAUCAAGUCUCCAUCUUCUGGAACUCAGCACAUCUCUUGAGAAUCGUCUUACAAGGACAUCAAGGCCUCAGACUGGUUGAAUGGUACUGCUAAAAGAUUUAGAUGAGAUUUGAGGCAUGAAGAUAAAAGGUUUGAGUUUUAGGCUUUUUGAAUCAUCAAUUCCUAUACACAGUGUACAUCAGACUCUUGAAUAGAUGAUCAUUUUCAUUUUAGGUCCCUCAUUUUGACAGGAUUGAAAGGAAUGACUUGCAGUGUAGAUCAAUGUCUUUUUCUGUCAAGUACAGGAGAAAAGGAAAGUCAAGCUGACAUUUUCAAGGUAGAAAACAAUGAGUCUGCAGAUAAGCUUCUUCUUUACAAAUAAUAGUUGCAUAUACAAGCAGGCUGGUCAUCAGAUUUUAAUUUGUUGAGGGUUGAGCAGUACAGAGUAAUCAGACUUAGGCCCUGUUUGAUGAUUUGAAGACUGAGUCAGUUAGUACAGAGGAUGAGACAAAGAUAUAAAGAAACCAUUCCCAACAUUUAACCAGUGCAUUCAUUAAAGUAGUUGAGGACAGCUGGCCCUUAAGUUGACUCUGAAGUAAAGAAAUGAGAUUUUUUUUUUUCUCAUGACACAAAGUGAAGUCUACUUGUUCUACAUGAUCUGGUCUGGGAGUUCAUUAAUUGAAUCCCUCCUGCAGAGACAUAUGGGUUGUCUUAAUGCCCAAGAGUAUCUCAAGACGAGGAAUGAAGUCAGCCACUCUGAUUCAGUGUAAAACAGUAUUGAGACAGAUGAAAUUCCAUGGAAAUAUCCAUAAGGAUAAGGGACUGUGGUCUUGUGACAUUAAGAAGCAUCAGGAAGCUCUUGAGUCUACUCAUAAAAUCUGUAGCCACAGGCUUUGCAGAUUUUCUUUCAAGUUGGUCUACAUUUCCAGCAAAAAGGUAGAUGACAUGCAAUCUGACAUGCCCUCCGAGUAAGCUACUGUGGCCUGGUCAAAAGGCCUACCUCCAAAUAUCCUUAACAUCUACAGUUGUUUGGAAGAAACAUUAAAAGACCCAUCUUAAAAUCUCCCGUUGUUUGGAAGAAAGUUUUGCAAAUGGCCACAUUUUAAAUCACAAGAAAGUAUGUUCAGAUAUUGUCUCCUGUGGAUCAGGUGUUACAUGUAGUUGAGCUGAGUAUUGUAAUUUUAGAGCAGAAUAGGCAGAUAUGCCAGUGAUGGAGGAAUUGUUUUAGCAAUUUUUCUUAAGGAUUAUUAGCUCAUUAAAUCCUGGAAACAGCAAUCAAACUGAAUUAAAAACCAAGGAGCAGUGUAACUGCCACUGGUUGAGUGACAGUAACUUAUAGUUUGAGAAGGUGAAUAAAACCAUGUACCCUUUUAGGUAACAUUGCCAAUAUUUGAAUUCUACUUUCACAGUUAAUGGUUAUCCCUUGCACACAAAGUAGAGUACCAUGGCUGAUGACAGGAGGUCCAAUGUAUAGUUGGUUGAAUAUGACCUCAAUGAGGCAUCAACUUCAAUACCACGUCAUUCAUGUAUCCAAGGAGGAUUAAGACUUCGAGGUCAUGUAUUUCAAGUACCACUAGAGUAUCUGGUGUUUAUAAAAAGAAACUGGGUAAAGGGGUUUAUCAGUGUAGAGUAUGUAUGAAUUGCUCUCUAGCUAUAUCCAAUUCUAGGAAUCACUGGAAGUCCAUCUAGGGGCAAAGGGCAGAUGGGCAAAGAUAUGCCCAUCUUCUUGUACUUUUCUGAGUUUACCCACAGUUAAGUAUUCUUAAUGAUGUUGAACAUCAACUGAACAUGGAUGGUGUUGGGUAGAGGUACAGAACAGAAUGCCUUUCAAGUUGAACACAAUGUCGUCUAGGGCAGUGGUUUUCAAACUGUGUUCUGAAGAAUUCUAGGUGCUGUAAAGAAGUCUCCUGAGGUGUCACCAUGGUGGUAAAGUAAGAUGCUUGUGGCAGGUUUCAGGCCCCCCACUUCUGCUUCUUCCAGAGCAGCUUCACUUUAACUCUGGUCUUCCGUAUAGCAUUCAUUCAAAGGGCUUCAUGGCCACAAAGCCUUUGGAAAACCAAUGAUCUAAGAAUAAGCUGUUCACAAAAUGCUGAAAUACAAAAAAUAGGUCACAGAAACCAGAAACUGUAUAAGCAAAGCCAAGUGGUAAGCCUAGAAAGUGUUUUCCUAUUUAUUCUUCCCCUAACGUACGCCACAUUAUAGAAUGAUGAAGUUAACAUUCAAGUCUGCUACAAAUUCGGAUUGCCUGAAACUGGGCUUGUAAGUGAGGCUAUUGGUUUUAAGUGACAAUAAUACUGGGGUUUUUGCAGUCAGCAUAUAGCUGCAAAAUGCAUUCAUUUCUUUGUAAAUAUUAUUCCAAGAAGUCCUGAGCUGGAUGACUUCUCUUCAAAGACUAGUAAGAUCUCAGUGGGCCAAAACUCAAAUCCUAAGCAAUAUCUUUUCACCCCUUCUUCCCCUUUUCUCUAUCCUUUUCCUCCUCCCUUCCCAGUCUCCUCACCCACCUGAGAUGCAAUGCCCUUGAACUAGGUUUAUAACACAAUUCUGGAGACAGAGAUGUAUACUGCUAAAAGCCAUGGAAUUCAUAUAAUUUCGUGGCAGAAUUAACUCCCCCCAUUCCCUUCCCAUGCAUCGACACAAACCUCCUAGAGGUUCCUUUGAUAGAAAAUGAACACAACUGUCAAGAUGUGGGGCUCUCAGAUGAUGGAGACACACUAAUUCAAGAAGUUACUGACAAGGUAAGAAAAAGGGUGGGUUCAAAGAUGCUGUUUAUUUCUGGGUCUCCAGGGCAAUUUGCUGCCAAUCAGCAAGCACUGGUUUUACUGCUCCAAAGCAGUUUUCCCAUUCCAUUAAAAACAAUGCUGCAAAAGUAACAUUCUGUGUUUCAUUAAACUUGGGACAACUGGACUAAACAGCUAAAUGAGGCUCUUUACUGCAAACCUUCUGAAAUCCUUUAAUACACUACACUGCAUUAUGUAUCAGGGAAGGGUACACAUUUUACCACCUAUUGGACUACAGAAGCUCUAUGAUAUAUAUUAUAUGUGUAUAUCAAAUAUAUACAUAAAUACACACACACAUAUAUAUAUGAACAGUACUGUUCUAAAAAAAUUGAUGGCUCAUAUUAUGUAAAUAAUAGUUUGGGGAUAGCGGAUCAUAGGUAAGACCUUGCUGUCAGGAAUAUUAAUAAGAC